UUUAGCCUCAGAUAUAAAAAGUCAGGUUGAAUAAAAAAAAUAAAAUAAUAUUUUUGGAAUAGAGGUAAUGUACGUAUAUCUCUCUCUCAGCUCGCAAGACAAAAAAACACUCGCACAAAAAAAAAGAAAUCGAUACAAUACAACCCUAGCUCUCUCUCGCGAUGCAAACCCAGCGCCGUCCUCCACCGGCGACGAGAUUGAACCUCAGCGCCGUCCUUUAAUCAACUCACCACCACCGCCUUAUCUCAGCAGUCGUUCUCUCUCUCACUCGCGCAGUCGUCCUCUCUCUCUCACUCGCGCAGUCGUCCUCUACCCUCACGAACCCUAACUCCAAAUCGAAGGUUGUCUUUCAUUCUCCAGCCUCUACUCUCACGAAUCGAAGGUUGUCCUCCUUUCUCCGGCCUCUACUCUCACGAAUUGAAGCUUGUCUUUCUCUUUCACAUCGAUUCAGGUUUGAGAGAGUGGUUACAUUUUAUUUCUCAGAGUUAGUAAUAUCCAUUACGAUGCCAAUGUGGAUGGAUGGCGGGAUCUUGAUUGGAGUAGCAAGGCCAUACAUAUUGCUGCUAGAAACCAAACAAAGUGAUAGGUUGAGAUUGUAAGGGAAGAAGGAUUGGAGAUAUCUCAACCAGCUCUUGAUCCAAAUUCGACAGAGAUACAUCAUAGAAUUACAGUUAGAGCUAGGACCAAGAAAGCGCAUAGGUGUUCAAUGAUCCCACGACAUUAACAGAGGAGGAGCUGUAUGAUUUGCGAGACCGUUGGGCAACUUGUUUUCUUGACCUAUAUAAUCCUGAUGUAGAUUAUGAUGAUGCCGAC
This is a long non-coding RNA of Trifolium pratense (red clover), 813 nucleotides long. RefSeq lists it as uncharacterized. The record is from RefSeq and is a predicted model, not a curated record. Lineage: Eukaryota; Viridiplantae; Streptophyta; Magnoliopsida; Fabales; Fabaceae. The transcript has 4 exons.